RNAcentral lists this ribosomal RNA (253 nucleotides) under uncultured bacterium. Its description in RNAcentral is "partial 16S ribosomal RNA". It matches the Rfam family "Bacterial small subunit ribosomal RNA", at positions 524 to 776 of the family's 1533-position model. The record is from RNAcentral.
GACGUAGGGUGCGAGCGUUGUCCGGAUUUAUUGGGCGUAAAGAGCUCGUAGGCGGCUUGUUGCGUCGACUGUGAAAACCCGCGGCUUAACCGCGGGCUUGCAGUUGAUACGGGCAGGCUAGAGUUCGGUAGGGGAGACUGGAAUUCCUGGUGUAGCGGUGAAAUGCGCAGAUAUCAGGAGGAACACCGGUGGCGAAGGCGGGUCUCUGGGCCGAUACUGACGCUGAUGUGCGAAAGCGUGGGGAGCAAACAGG